CCUACGGGAGGCAGCAGUGAGGAAUAUUGGUCAAUGGGCGGAAGCCUGAACCAGCCAAGUAGCGUGCGUGAUGAAGGCCCUACGGGUCGUAAACCGCUUUUGCACGGGGAUAACACCCUCCACUUGUGGAGGUCUGCAGGUACCGUGCGAAUAAGGGCCGGCUAAUUCCGUGCCAGCUGCCGCGGUAAUACGGAAAGCCCGAGCGUUAUCAGGAUUCAUGGGGCUAAAGGGGAACGUAGGGGGGCGGUCAAGGUAGCUCGAAAAUGGCGCGGCUCAACCGCGACCGGCAGUUGAAACUGGACGCCUUGAGUGCACAACAGGCAGGCGGAAUUCGUGGUGUAGCGGUGAAAUGCAUAGAUAUCACGAGGAACCCCGAUUGCGAAGGCAGCCUGCCGGGGUGCGACUGACGCUGAGGCUCGAAGGUGCGGGUAUCAAACAGGAUUAGAUACCCGGGUAGUC
This 459-nucleotide ribosomal RNA is filed under the name uncultured bacterium. Its description in RNAcentral is "partial 16S ribosomal RNA". It matches the Rfam family "Bacterial small subunit ribosomal RNA", at positions 338 to 795 of the family's 1533-position model. The record is from RNAcentral.